Molecule: ribosomal RNA, 253 nt
Filed under: uncultured bacterium
Lineage: Bacteria
Description: partial 16S ribosomal RNA
Rfam family: Bacterial small subunit ribosomal RNA
Source: RNAcentral
UACGGAGGGUGCAAGCGUUGUCCGGAAUCACUGGGCGUAAAGGGCGCGUAGGCGGCUCAUAAAGGCUGUGGUGAAAGUUCGGGGCUCAACCUCGAAUCGGCCGUGGCGACUUGUGGGCUGGAGCACUGUAGAGGCGGGUGGAAUUCCGGGUGUAGCGGUGGAAUGCGUAGAGAUCCGGAGGAACACCGGUGGCGAAGGCGGGACUCUGGGCCGAUACUGACGCUGAGGAGCGAAAGCGUGGGGAGCAAACAGG